CCCCAUGGCGGGCCAAGCGAGGCAGCCGCAAGGCUGACCGGUUCCCCACGUCAGACCGGCUUUCCACCCUCGUUGACUGGCCCGCCGCCCUC
This 92-nucleotide non-coding RNA is filed under the name Cupriavidus taiwanensis. The record is from RNAcentral. Lineage: Bacteria; Pseudomonadati; Pseudomonadota; Betaproteobacteria; Burkholderiales; Burkholderiaceae.